AGAAAUACAUCGAUGAGACAUGACCCCACCUCCCGCCAUUUUCAUAGCCCUGUUUUGUGUAAUAUAGCAUCACUGGGAACAGUACGUACUGUACAGAGUUUUGGCCAAUACCUUCGAGUCCGAAACGUUAAACAUUAAUUGCUAAGUUGUUUUCUGUGGCUAAAUGUACCAUAUUACCCCGUUUCACGAUAAAACUUACAAGUACACUAAAUGAUUUCAGAGUUUGGAGUUGAAUGUACAGGUGAACGCCAUUCCACCGCGGAGCGAAUAAGUUGGGCUUCUAUCACCCCUUAAAGUACGUUCCACAGGCUAUUGGGAUGAUUUGUAACAAAUAUCGCUACUGAUCAAAGGUCUUUCGACUUGGAUGGGUAAUGAAAAGACAAUUGGAAACAAACCCAGAAGCUUUUUCAUUUGACAAAAUAUUCGUGUUUGGCACUAACGUAUGAAAAUCUAGCAACACACUCGUGCACGUUGUUUGCCACCCGAAAACCGCCACUCUCAUCAAUAUUUUUCAUUUCUUAUUUUAAAAAAAGAAAACAUUUGUCGUCAACGUGGAGAAUCGUGUUUCGCGGAACUACAAUACCCCAGCUCUAAAAAAGCAAUCAAAGUCAAAUUUCCACAGUUGACUCCAAUGGCACCAGGACAUUAAGUUCGCUUUCAAGUGUCUCUCCGUAACGACUUACAGUGGUGUAG
Daphnia magna is the source of this 693-nucleotide long non-coding RNA. RefSeq lists it as uncharacterized. The record is from RefSeq and is a predicted model, not a curated record. The transcript is spliced from 2 exons. NCBI's taxonomy places the organism in Eukaryota, Metazoa, Arthropoda, Branchiopoda, Diplostraca, Daphniidae.